RNAcentral lists this long non-coding RNA (1332 nucleotides) under Mus musculus (house mouse). RNAcentral describes it as "predicted gene, 36635". Lineage: Eukaryota; Metazoa; Chordata; Mammalia; Rodentia; Muridae. The record is from RNAcentral.
GCCUCUGCCUCUGCCUCUGCCUCUGCCUCUGCCUCUGCCUCUGCCUGCAGACUAUUGGGAUGAAAGGCCUACACUACCACCUCCUGGCUUAUUUCAACUCUACAUAAGAGGCCAAGAACUGGAAAACAUCUGACCCAGGCCCCAACCGCUUAUAACACACAGGAAGCCCCUCCAGACUUCUCAACCACAUAUGACCCUGCAUGGUGGCCCUCGCCCUCGCCCCAGGGUGCAGGCCCUCGCAUGGGGAUCACUUGCGCCCCAGUUCGACACUGAACAUUAUGUACCUGCUUUAACCUUUGACACCCCAGCCGUCCCAGAGAUGUGGAGGUUCUGUCUUCUCCAGAGCUCCUGACAAAGGACAUCAAAACACCGGCAGAGAGGAGGUCGCUUGUGCCCUGGAAAGUCUCCGAAGCAAGAGGAAUGGCUAAUGAAACCUCCUCUCCGCAGAGUAAUUCAGCAAUUAUCUUCUGGUGCUCAGCGUGAGCCAACACACCAUCCUAAAGAACAGCUCAUCCCACAGGCAUGCACACGGCUGUCUGCUCCUCCCAGGCCCUGGGGCUACAAGUACAGCGGCCAGCUGGAAAGGCAAGGCAGCCUGGCUGGAAGAGCUAGGCAGUGCUGGAGUGGUGAACCCAGAUGCCUUCAGUCCCAGGGACGGGAAGGGGUGUGGAGCAGGGGAAAGCGGCAGGGCUCAGGCUACAAACAGGCUGACUGUUCAUGACUCCCUGGUCACUCAGGGCUACCCAGGUCUGUGUCUAGGGACCUCGAAGGGAGACAACUAGCAACGUCAUUCAGGUGGGAAAAGGGCAGUUUCAGGAAAGACCUAAGCACUCAAAGGCCAGCCAGUGGGCAUGGAUGGGCAGCCUGAGGCCCUACUGCUCAGGAAAGGUCUGUGCAUCCUAAGUAGUUAGACGGGAACUUCAUCUCGGUGUAGCUUCUGCAGGUGUGAUUCACAGCUGGAAGACACCAGACUGCACGGCAUCCACAGAAGUCUCUUCUCUGAAAGGGACUCAUGCUACUGAUGUUGAUUUGAAUUGGAUAGCUUGGAGUAACUCGAUGCCACAGCUAAAUGUUCCAAGCAUGAAUCACCCUUCAGCAACACCUACUCACGCCCCAGAAGCCAAGGUUAAGCUCACCAGUAGCCCUGGCUUUGACAGAGGCAGAGCUGUGACAUGAACGCCGUGGAGGGUUUGUUUACUGGAGCCUCGCCUGUGUAGUCCUCGAUUACCUAGCCCGAGUACUCUCAGCUGGGCCUGCUGUCCAUGCUGUGCCCUAAGCUGAUGGAACCAUUCUCCCUCGGGACCACACACCACCACUGUUCUGACCUCCCAG